AACGUAGGUGGCAAACGUUAUCCGGAUUUACUGGGCGUAAAGAGUGCGUAGGUGGUUAUUUAAGUCAGAUGUAAAAUCUCCUGGCUCAACUGGGAGGGACCAUCUGAUACUGGAUAGCUGGAGUACAGCAGAGGAAAGUGGAAUUCCCGGUGUAGUGGUGGAAUGCGUAGAUAUCGGGAGGAACACCAGUGGCGAAAGCGGCUUUCUGGGCUGUUACUGACACUGUUGCACAAAAGCGUGGGGAGCAAACAGG
This 253-nucleotide ribosomal RNA is filed under the name uncultured bacterium. Its description in RNAcentral is "partial 16S ribosomal RNA". It matches the Rfam family "Bacterial small subunit ribosomal RNA", at positions 524 to 776 of the family's 1533-position model. The record is from RNAcentral.